AGCAGCCGCGGUAAUUCCAGCUCCAAUAGCGUAUAUUAAAGUUGUUGCAGUUAAAAAGCUCGUAGUUGAAUUUCGGGAUCAGUUGGUCGGUCGUGCCUCGGUACGUACUGGUCAAAUUGAUUCCUACCUUCUGACGAACCACGAUGUCAUUAAUUUGGUGUCGCGGGAAAUCAGGACUGUUACUUUGAAAAAAUUAGAGUGUUUAAAGCAGGCUCGCGCUUGAAUACAUUAGCAUGGAAUAAUGAAAUAGGACGUUUGAUUCUAUUUUGUUGGUUUCUAGGAUCGACGUAAUGAUUAAUAGGGAUAGUUGGGGGCAUUAGUAUUCAAUUGUCAGAGGUGAAAUUCUUGGAUUUAUUGAAGACUAACUACUGCGAAAGCAUUUGCCAAGGAUGUUUUCAUUAAUCAAGAACGAAAGUUAGGGGAUCGAAGACGAUCAGAUACCGUCGUAGUCUUAACCAUAGACUAUGCCGACUAGGGAUCGGAUGAUGUUAAUUUUUUAAUGACUCAUUCGGCGCCUUAC
Molecule: unclassified non-coding RNA, 520 nt
Filed under: uncultured Glomus
Lineage: Eukaryota; Fungi; Glomeromycota; Glomeromycetes; Glomerales; Glomeraceae
Also listed under: 1 other name
Description: SSU rRNA
Rfam family: Eukaryotic small subunit ribosomal RNA
Source: RNAcentral